UACGUAGGGUGCGAGCGUUAAUCGGAAUUACUGGGCGUAAAGCGUGCGUAGGCGGUUCUGCAAGUCAGAUGUGAAAUCCCCGGGUUUAACCUGGGAAUGGCAUUUGGGACUGCAAGGCUUGAGUGCGGCAGAGGAGACUGGAAUUCCCGGUGUAGCAGUGAAAUGCGUAGACAUCGGGAGGAAUACCGAUGGCGAAGGCAGGUCUCUGGGCUGACACUGACGCUCAUGCACGAAAGCGUGGGGAGCAAACAGG
RNAcentral lists this ribosomal RNA (253 nucleotides) under uncultured bacterium. RNAcentral's name for it is "partial 16S ribosomal RNA". It matches the Rfam family "Bacterial small subunit ribosomal RNA", at positions 524 to 776 of the family's 1533-position model. The record is from RNAcentral.